GCCUUCUUAGCUCAGUGGUAGAGCGCGUCACUAGUAUGUUAAAGAACAAAGCGAGUGCCAUGACGAGGUCACCUGUUCGAAACAGGUAGGAGGCA
This is a transfer RNA of Fomitopsis pinicola, 95 nucleotides long. It matches the Rfam family "tRNA". From Rfam's summary of the family: Transfer RNA (tRNA) molecules are approximately 80 nucleotides in length. Their secondary structure includes four short double-helical elements and three loops (D, anti-codon, and T loops). The record is from Rfam. Lineage: Eukaryota; Fungi; Basidiomycota; Agaricomycetes; Polyporales; Fomitopsidaceae.